AGCGAACGCUGGCGGCAGGCUUAACACAUGCAAGUCGAACGCCCGGGCAACCGGGAGUGGCAGACGGGUGAGUAACGCGUGGGAACAUACCCUUUGGUUCGGAAUAACUCAGGGAAACUUGAGCUAAUACCGGAUAAGCCCUUAUGGGGAAAGAUUUAUCGCCGAAGGAUUGGCCCGCGUCCGAUUAGCUAGUUGGUGAGGUAACAGCUCACCAAGGCGACGAUCGGUAGCUGGUCUGAGAGGAUGAUCAGCCACACUGGGACUGAGACACGGCCCAGACUCCUACGGGAGGCAGCAGUGGGGAAUAUUGGACAAUGGGGGCAACCCUGAUCCAGCCAUGCCGCGUGAGUGAUGAAGGCCCUAGGGUUGUAAAGCUCUUUCGGCGGGGACGAUAAUGACGGUACCCGCAGAAGGAGCCCCGGCUAACUUCGUGCCAGCAGCCGCAGUAA
Molecule: ribosomal RNA, 449 nt
Filed under: uncultured bacterium
Lineage: Bacteria
Description: partial 16S ribosomal RNA
Rfam family: Bacterial small subunit ribosomal RNA
Source: RNAcentral